GAUUAAAAAAACCGUGGCCCAUCCAGACGAUGGGACAUUUUCAGUGCUAAAAAGAGAUGAGCUACAAGCCAUGAAUAGACAUGGAGGAAUUUCAAAUGCAUUAUUUCUAGGUGAAAGAAGCCAAUCUGAAAAGACCACAUGCUGCGUGGUUCCAACUCUAUGGCGUUCUGGAAAAAGUGCAGCAACGUACACAGUAAAAGGCUCAGUGUUUGCCAGGGUUUAUGGGAACCGAUGAGUAGGUGGAACACGAUUUUCAGAGUAGUGACAAUAUUCUGUAGGAUAUCAUAAUGAUGGAUCCAUGUCCACACAUCCUUCUACAAUUGUCCAGACCCGUAGAAUGUGCAACACCCAAGAGUGAACCCUAAUGUCAGCUGUGGGCUCUGGGUGAUGAUAGUGUGUCAUGUGGGUUCAACAGUUGUGGCAAAUACACCCUCUGGUGGGGGCUGUUGAUGGGGUGCCGUGCAUGUGUUGGGGGAAAGGGUAUAGGGGAAAUCUCUGUCCCUUCCCAAUUUGGCGGUGACCCUAACACUGCUCUAAAAAAGUAAAGUGCUAAUAAGAAACUUUCCCCAUGCCAAGUGCACAGACUUGCUCCCCUUCAAAGCCUGAGGUGCCCGGGAAUAAGCUGAGGGCCCCUGAAAACCCAGCCAGCCCUCCAUUUCUGACUUGUGUGUCUAAACCCAAGGUCAAAGAGCACUCAUUCGAGAGUCCCAGCUCCCCAUCCCCGGGCAGUGUCUAGGGGUGACCCUGUUUCCCAGGGGGCACUGUGGGUGGCCUGUGUGACCAGAUCUUAGGCUCAGCCAUGUGGGAGGCGUUGCAGAGGGACACAGCCCUCCUGGCCUCCUGCUGAGGCCCCCCAACCUCCAGCAAGUUGGAUGCUCCCAUGUCCACGUCCUGCUGGGCCAGACCGGGCAGUGGACAUCUUGUCCCGUGGCUGCGGAGGGAGCCCGCGGUGAGCCUGGCGGCCCACACGGGUGGCCCAGUCACCAGGUGCCAACACGGAGCCCUUCGUCUCUGUUUGCAGGCUGGCGGUGAUAAGCAUAAGCAAACAUCCUGCGGACCACGCAGGCUGGAGGGCUGUGGCUCCAGGGGGCAAAGGUGCCCCAGGGACCCUUCCCGUGCGGAAGCCAAGCCCGAGCCUGGAGAAGCGUGGGCCAGAGGUGGGAAGGGAUGUGGCCGCCGCGAGGCCUCCCUCCGCAGUCUCCUCAGACUCUGCCCGCCUGCCUGGGAGGCCCGAGGCUGCCAGGCCUGUGGACGUUUGUGCAGCCUGCCCAGGGGGCCGACAGCCAGGCAGGGGCUGGCCUGUGGGUGUCUGGCCCAGCUGGACGUUGGCUGCCUUCCUCCUGCCGGCCCUGGCGCUCAGCCCACAGCUGGCGCGACGCUGAGACCUUUCCCCCACUUCCAGCUCGGGCUCCAGAUGAUUCCAGGCCCCUAAAGUUUACAGAAGUCACAUGUGCCUGGCAAGGGCUUCCCAGGCCAUUCCCUGCCUCCUCUCUGCUUGCUUGGGCCUGAAGGCCACACAAGCAAGCAGGGAAGGGAACUCUGGCCCCUGAGGAGGUGCGUCGCAGGCCUGCAGGGCUGAGGCGGGCUGGAGCAGGACGAGGGGCCACCCUCUGGGCUCUAAGGCCCCCAGCACAGCUCCAGAUCAGCACAGCACCUGCCCUGUCCACGGUCGGGCACCUUCCCAAGCCCUGAGUGCUGCUGGAGGGCAUUAGUCCUGUGGGCGGGCCUCACUGACCCACUUCCUCUCAGCUGCCUACACGGUGGGCCAGUCAUCAUGGGACCCUCCUUGUGUCCCCAGCCUCUGUUGUCUGCUUCUAAUUCCCUGGACCUUGAGAACCACAGGCCCAGCUGUUGGUGCUCCCUGCUGCGUCACUGUCCCACGGGGUUCCCCGAUCUCUCACAGCCCAGACACCAUCCUCAAGACACAGAGUGACAACAGUGGGGGACAGCAGGGCCCAGAGAGGAAUGCAGGUCUUCCCGCUCCAGAGCCCAAGGCCCAGAUGGAGAAACUGAGGCACAGAGCAGCUCCCUGGUUGGAGAGGGAAUGUAAAGGAGACCGUCGUGGCUACCCCUCCCCGCCCAGCCUCUCAGGGAACCCCAUCUCGAUGGAAGCCUGCAGAUGCUCCCCCCAGCCCCGACUCCCUCUAGCCUGCUGUCUUGUCAGACCUGGCAACAGAACUGUCCCAGCUGCUUGGGGAUUGCAGGACAGGGGCACCCGGAGUCAAGCCAGUGCUCUGGAAAAAUCCUGGGAGCCGGAUGCUGCCCUGUGACGGGUGGUCACCAUGCCUUUCCUGAGCUGCCGUUUUUGCAGUUUGAGAACGGAGUAGUGAUGAAACCCAGCUCCUGGCUCGUGUGAGGACGAAGAUGGUGCAUAUAAGGUGCUGAGCCCGGUGUGAGCGCUCAGUGUGCUCAAUGAUAUUAGAACUUCCCGGCACAGAGUGUCUGCCCUCCACCUUCUAUUAAGAAACAGCAGUUCCGAAAAUACAAACAGACAAAACAAAAAA
Leptonychotes weddellii (Weddell seal) is the source of this 2504-nucleotide non-coding RNA. The record is from RefSeq and is a predicted model, not a curated record. Lineage: Eukaryota; Metazoa; Chordata; Mammalia; Carnivora; Phocidae.